This is an RNA transcript of Mus musculus (house mouse), 3791 nucleotides long. It is a transcript of the gene named predicted gene 5486, with no coding region annotated. The transcript is spliced from 5 exons. Lineage: Eukaryota; Metazoa; Chordata; Mammalia; Rodentia; Muridae. The record is from RefSeq and is a predicted model, not a curated record.
UAGUCCAGCCACUCAAGUGAAGACAAAUCCCUCUUACAUUAGUAUUUACUUAAAAGCCAUCUCCUUUGCUAGACACUACCUCUUACGCAGACAGUGCUGAUGUCUUUUUCACACUUUGCUAUAACCACAGAAGCUUGAGGUGGCCCAGUCAUGAGAGUGCUUCCGAUGCCCUGCCAAAGGUUUAGAUGUUCCUCUCACUGCCCCUACAUGGUAGGGGCAGGCAUGAAAUUAACCAAUUCACCCCCCACCCCCAGUGCUCCAACCUGCCCCCUCAACCUGCAGCUCCAGAUCCUUUACAACUCUGCCAACCAACUGCUAACCAGGCCUGACCCUGCUUAGUUCACUUCCAAUUCUGAGAUAACAGGCAAUGAGGGUGUGUUCAGAAUGGUAUGACCUUGGAGCUUUCCAGAGGCAACUUCAGCAAGUCCAAGCCACUGCAAAGACAUCCAGGUAGACUCCUUCCUGUGCUCCCAUCUCAGGUGAUCUGUGUCCCUCCUGCCUGCAAGAGACCUUUCUCCUGCACACUACUGAGUUUCCCUGCGUGGGCAUCCGUGUGAUGUGGAGAAGAAGCAAUGUUACACAAGCCAUCAGUCAUAGGCCGUGGCCCUGGACUAUCAUUGCCAUCUCUGUGGAAUUAUGCCAGUCUGUGCCGCUGUGGUGUCUGGAGCACCACCUAUGGACCUCAGGAGAGGCAGAGGGCAGUCUAUAAAGGAGGUCUCCAGAUUGUGUUUCCACAGGUGGAAAACAUCGGGAUCUGAAACGAUUGUUGUGAUUCCCAGUCAACUCUGCACUGCUGAGGUACCACUAGCUGGAAAUUGGGAAUGGGGUCCACAGUAUUGUGUUUCCUCUUAUGGCGUCCACAUGCCAGUCAGGAAGGGGAAGGCAGAUCCAGGGACUGGGGUGGAACUUGGUUUCUUUCCAAGUGAGUGCAGAGAGUACUGAGGGGCUGGGAGAGAGAAGGCCUUGUCUGGGAGAUUUAGGCAUGACUCUUUAUGACUAACCUUCCCCAGUCCCCAACACCAUCAUUGAUUAACAGAUGGUCCUCAUUUGUCCAAACUGCUUUAUUGUUUUAUUUGAUGGCCAAUGUAAAUACACACGUUACUCAGAGUGAACCAGGGAUUAAAUACCUUUUGUAGGAAGGAAUGACCAGGAAGGGAAGCCCAAUGGCUGAACACUUGUGUGUGUGUGUGUGUGUGGGGGGGGUGUACCUAGAUACCUCAUUAGCAAGGAGAACUCCAGGCUUUUAUGCUAAGUUUUUGAUUGUCAUGGUCCUCUCAGUGAGGUGCCCAUAGUUACAGAGUAGGUGGAGUUUGGUAGGGAGCUGGGCCCACACCCAGCACUCAAUUCUGCAUUUCACAGGGUCUCGGCUUCCUCACCUUGACCAGUUCUUCUGUUUGGUGGCACGAUCAGUCCAUUUGCUCCUCAGAGUUAACAUCUGAUCUUUUGCUACCCAGCUGUAGAUUACCCACUCUUUUCCCAUGAGGGCAGCCCUUGGGCAUGAUCUAUUCUAGAACCAGUAGCAGAGGAGUCUGGGAGAUGGAAUUUUCUAGCCCUUGUGAUUCCACACAGAACACACAGAAAGGUAGCCGCUACACAGCAGGCAAUUUCCUGCAGAGACCCAAUCUCAAACAGCAAUUAGAAUGAGUGCUUUGCUUUGCAUAGGUGAGAUAGGUUCUCCUCUAGAAGGAGCCUGGCUCCCCAGCUCACACAGGCUUGUCUUAUGAUCCUUGUGUCCUUGGGCAACAGCAGCAGAAGCCAUUUCCCCAGCUCCUCCCAGGAAGACACACAUGCUUUGUGAUGCUCCUUAGACCUUACACCAGCCAGCCCAUGAGGGGAGGUUUGUAAUUUGCAUUUUAAACAUUAGGUUGGACAAGUGACAGAGCAACUGAUCGGCGGGACUACUGUCCAAAUCCAAGCCUGGUGGACUCCUGUCACAUCUUAAUCUUCUGUGCUCAGAUUUUUAAUUCCCAGGGCUACUGGAGUUUUAGUAUGAUCCUGGACGCCCACCUACACUUUUGUGUUUAGUUCUUCAUCUUCAGGAAUACCGCGUUCACUCUUCUACACUGGCUCCUGUUCCCUUACUUUUUUUUCCUCUUCUUUCUUUUUUGUAACUUUUGUUAAAUUUGUCCUUUGAUAACUCGAUUGACUCAACGGAUAUAGAGCAUUCUGCCUCUCACAUCUCUCUUCUCCUCUUUCUCCUGCGCUUCCCCACCUCUCCUCACGUGUCUCUGUCGCACAUCCAUACUGAUGUCUUUUUUGCUUUGUUUUGUGACCCACUGAACCUGACCGAGGUCAUCUGUGUGACGAUGGAACCAUUUGGAAGUAUCCACUGGAACUUGAUGAAGUCAACAGCGGGAAUACAACUGAAACCUCUGGUUGUCCCCUCUCUGAAACCUUCAGUAGUGCUUCUUAUUUUCACCAGGCUCCUGUGUCAAGAACAAGUCCUACACAGCACCAAACGUUUACUGGUGAGAAGCCCCGGCAGAGGGGAUUUGCCUCAUAAUUUCCCUGAGUCAGAGAAGGUGUGGGAAAGAGGAAACAAGACAGCUCAUGUGUUGAAGAUCCUGGCGCUGCAGAAAGCAUCCAUUCAGUUCUUCACAACCUGCCUGACAGUUUUCCUAAUGAAACACUUCAGUAUCUUUUUAACGGAGACCUUCCUGCUGAGAUCCAGGCGGCAUUGUGGAGCCAGAAGCAGAGGCAGCUUCUAGCUGUCCUUGUUCCUAAGCAGCUGGUGACCUCAGGACUUCAGGACCUGGCUUUCAUGGUCAUGCCCUGUUGACAGAAGACAUCCCAUCAGGCUGCAGACACCUGACCUUUCUCUCUGCCGUGCUCCACCCACUAGAUGGGGUGACAAGGAGAAGCCUGCGAACAGCUAGUGGGCUUAGAACUGGAGGGCUCUCAUGCACACAUAUCACAAGGCAUCCUGGUCAAAGAGGGAAGGGAACCAAGGGACGAUCCCCUUGUCCUUCCCAGGAAAUGUAGCAAGGGCAAGAUGUCCCAUUCCCACCCUUUGGGCAAGUUGUUUGCCUGUCUGAGCCUGUAUUUCCUAAUGCCUAUGAAAGGCAGAAGAGACAGAAAUAGAAACUCAUGCUCUUAACAUUCGAAGCAAACAAGCUAAAGGUUAGCUUCCCAAAUCCUACCCCCUUUGAAGACUGAUGGAUGAGAUUUGCUAAGUUUGCUACAGGCAAGGAAACAAGCAAGGGCUGAAGACUAUAGAACUCCUGCCACACUAGUACUAAAGUAAUCCCAUGACUGGAGGAGGAGGGGUUGGAGGAGGAGGAGUGAGAGGAGGAGGAAGAAGAGGAGGACGAUGCCUACAACAGCAACAACUAUGAAGGGUUUGGAUGAACAGUUGCAGACUGUCUGCUCAUUGCCACUCCUCAACUUUCCCAGAGAGUGGUAACAAAACCAGUGAGAUCCAAGUGGGUAAUGCAAAUGAGCCUGGGGUGCUAGGGGUUUGUGCGGAAAGCAUCAACAUUAUUCCUUGCUUCCAAAAAGAUGCGUUUUCCACUUGCUGGGAAAGCCCCUGUGGGUAUGUGUUUUGUUUUCUCAAAUUCCGUAGAUUCAGAGGCACAGAGAAACACUUCUGUGCACGAUAAGCACAACACUGAAAUGCAUGCUCUAAUAGCAAUGGUGGAAGGAGCUGUGAAUUGGAGAUCCUCUUUGCUUUGCCUAGCAAAGAGCCUAGGUUGUGCAGCCCCAGCUGUGCUGUUCCCAGUACAGCUGCUGCCUCCUCCUUCUCCUCUUCCUCCUCCUCUUCCUCCUCCUUCCGCAUCUUCUGCCUUCUCUCU